ACCCUCACCCCAGCUCUAACUCUUAAACCUUUAACAGCCUUAAUUAUUCACGGUUUAGUUUCCCCAAAACACUAUAAAAUUAAGUUUAAAUUAAAAUCUCUACCAGAUAUGUUAUCUUGUAGAGAGUUUGUUCGAACAUGAUGCUCACAUUACAGUUUAAUUUAGCAUUUUUGCAACAGCUGUGUUAAACCUUGUGAUGAAUCUUCAGGCUCCUUCUUCACCUUUUCCUCAUCUUUUCAUUUUGCUUUGUACUGCUGUGUAUCUUAUUCUCUAUGUUAAUUGUUUUCGCUGUGUCUCCUGGUCUCCUCUUGCACAGAGACAGAAAACAGAAGCCGUGCUCCUGCUGGUCAUGCUGUGGCUCUGUAAGAGUCAGAGGAAGAUGGAUGAUCAGAGUGCUUGUGUUUAUUUGUGCAAGGCUGGAGUUUGGGGGGACGGGGAAGUGUAUUAUGUAUGCAGUGCUCACAAUCAGCAACCAAACAAGAUUAGGAAUUAUAGAUGAGAAAAGCAAGAGAGCGAGAAAAAAAGGAAGCUAGGUUUGAUUAAUCUGGACACAUAGCUCACUCUUUUGUGUUUGCUUUCUUACAUCAUUUCCUAAAAAGGCCCAAGCCAUGGAAGCCAUCAAGCUUUUCUUUUUUACAUUCCUGUGAUGAAUUUCCAUUUCCAGGCUCACUAUAAUAGCAUGCCAUUUUACCUGGAAGUAAUAAUGCUGAAUUGUUAUUCCCUGCCUUACCAAGACAGUUCAAAACUGUAUGGAAUACAGCAGGGAGGGAAGUGAAGAAACGGUCUACUCCUGCCAUCUGAGAUCAGAUGGCGCUGUGACUGCAUCGGAAAUGAACAGAAACAGGAGAAAAUUCCCACAAUGAAGACUGCGUGUUGUCUUGGAAAUGAUUUGUAUAAUAAAACUUUAAACUGUUUUAA
This is a long non-coding RNA of Tachysurus fulvidraco (yellow catfish), 918 nucleotides long. RefSeq lists it as uncharacterized. The transcript has 3 exons. The record is from RefSeq and is a predicted model, not a curated record. Lineage: Eukaryota; Metazoa; Chordata; Actinopteri; Siluriformes; Bagridae.